AUACUUACCUGGCAGGGGAGAUACCGUGAUCAAGAAGGCUGUUCACCCAGGGCAAGGUUCAGCCAUUGCAAAUGUGUGAAUCUCAACUGCGUAAUUUAC
The sequence is a small nuclear RNA, 99 nucleotides long. Its record names the gene U1. It matches the Rfam family "U1 spliceosomal RNA". From Rfam's summary of the family: U1 is a small nuclear RNA (snRNA) component of the spliceosome (involved in pre-mRNA splicing). The record is from Ensembl.